RNAcentral lists this unclassified non-coding RNA (345 nucleotides) under soil metagenome. RNAcentral describes it as "partial contains 5.8S ribosomal RNA, internal transcribed spacer 2, and large subunit ribosomal RNA". The stretch from base 1 to 121 matches the Rfam family "5.8S ribosomal RNA", at positions 35 to 154 of the family's 154-position model. The record is from RNAcentral.
GAUGAAGAACGCAGCGAAAUGCGAUAAGUAAUGCGAAUUGCAGAAUUUCCGUGAGUCAUCGAAUCUUUGAACGCACAUUGCGCCCACUGGUAUUCCGGUGGGCAUGCCUGUUCGAGCGUCAUUAUCCUCCCUCAAACCCCGGGUUUGGUGUUGGACCCAAGUUGUGUGAACAACUGGUCUCAAAGACAAUGACGGCGUCCGUGGGACCCUCGGUGCAACGAGCUUUUAGGAGCACGCAUCGAGUUGCAAGGACCUUCCGGGCCGGUCUCCUUUACCAUUUUACAACGUUGACCUCGGAUCAGGUAGGAAUACCCGCUGAACUUAAGCAUAUCAAUAAGCGGAGGA